UCUGGUAUUGACGGCGGAGAGGUCACGCCAGAACCCUUACCGAACACGGAAGUUAAGCUCUCUAGCGCCGAUGGUAGUUGGGACCUUGUCCCUGUGAGAGUAGGACGUCGCCAAGC
This 116-nucleotide ribosomal RNA is filed under the name Bacillus cereus. The record is from RNAcentral. Lineage: Bacteria; Bacillati; Bacillota; Bacilli; Caryophanales; Bacillaceae.